RNAcentral lists this transfer RNA (69 nucleotides) under Ictidomys tridecemlineatus (thirteen-lined ground squirrel). RNAcentral's name for it is "Spermophilus tridecemlineatus (thirteen-lined ground squirrel) tRNA". It matches the Rfam family "tRNA". From Rfam's summary of the family: Transfer RNA (tRNA) molecules are approximately 80 nucleotides in length. Their secondary structure includes four short double-helical elements and three loops (D, anti-codon, and T loops). The record is from Rfam by way of RNAcentral. Lineage: Eukaryota; Metazoa; Chordata; Mammalia; Rodentia; Sciuridae.
GGGGAUGUGGCUCAAUCGGUAGAGCGCAUGCCUAGCAUGUGUGAGGCCCAGGUUCGAUCCUCAGCACCA